CGCGUAGGCGGGAUGGCAAGUCGGUCGUGAAAUCCUUCGGCUCAACCGAAGAACGUCGAUCGAUACUGCUGUUCUUGAGGAUUGCAGAGGAGACUGGAAUUCCCGGUGUAGCGGUGAAAUGUGUAGAGAUCGGGAGGAACACCGGUGGCGAAGGCGGGUCUCUGGGCAAUUCCUGACGCUGAGGCGCGAAAGCGUGGGGAGCAAACGGGAUUAGAUACCCCGGUAGUCCACGCUGUAAACGAUGACGACUAGGUGUGGGGGGGUUCAGUCCCCUCCGUGCCGCAGCUAACGCAUUAAGUCGUCCGCCGGGGGAGUACGGCCGCAAGGUUGAA
RNAcentral lists this ribosomal RNA (332 nucleotides) under uncultured bacterium. Its description in RNAcentral is "bacterial SSU rRNA". It matches the Rfam family "Bacterial small subunit ribosomal RNA", at positions 568 to 898 of the family's 1533-position model. The record is from RNAcentral.